GCUCAUAUAGCUCAGUAGGUAGAGCACUUCCUUGGUAAGGAAGAGGUCUCCGGUUCAAAUCCGGAUAUGAGCUCCA
Molecule: transfer RNA, 76 nt
Filed under: Methylococcaceae bacterium
Lineage: Bacteria; Pseudomonadati; Pseudomonadota; Gammaproteobacteria; Methylococcales; Methylococcaceae
Also listed under: 1 other name
Description: tRNA-Thr
Rfam family: tRNA
About the family: Transfer RNA (tRNA) molecules are approximately 80 nucleotides in length. Their secondary structure includes four short double-helical elements and three loops (D, anti-codon, and T loops). Further hydrogen bonds mediate the characteristic L-shaped molecular structure. tRNAs have two regions of fundamental functional importance: the anti-codon, which is responsible for specific mRNA codon recognition, and the 3' end, to which the tRNAs corresponding amino acid is attached (by aminoacyl-tRNA synthetases). tRNAs cope with the degeneracy of the genetic code in two manners: having more than one tRNA (with a specific anti-codon) for a particular amino acid; and 'wobble' base-pairing, i.e. permitting non-standard base-pairing at the 3rd anti-codon position.
Source: RNAcentral